RNAcentral lists this ribosomal RNA (400 nucleotides) under uncultured bacterium. Its description in RNAcentral is "bacterial SSU rRNA". It matches the Rfam family "Bacterial small subunit ribosomal RNA", at positions 355 to 747 of the family's 1533-position model. The record is from RNAcentral.
UGGGGAAUCUUCCGCAAUGGACGAAAGUCUGACGGAGCAACGCCGCGUGAGUGAUGAAGGUCUUCGGAUUGUAAAACUCUGUUGUCAGGGACGAAUGUGCGAACGUUGAAUAAGCGUUUGUAUUGACGGUACCUGACGAGGAAGCCACGGCUAACUACGUGCCAGCAGCCGCGGUAAUACGUAGGUGGCAAGCGUUGUCCGGAAUUAUUGGGCGUAAAGAGCAUGUAGGCGGGCUUUUAAGUCCGACGUGAAAAUGCGGGGCUUAACCCCGUAUGGCGUUGGAUACUGGAAGUCUUGAGUGCAGGAGAGGAAAGGGGAAUUCCCAGUGUAGCGGUGAAAUGCGUAGAUAUUGGGAGGAACACCAGUGGCGAAGGCGCCUUUCUGGACUGUGUCUGACGCU